Molecule: ribosomal RNA, 384 nt
Filed under: uncultured eukaryote
Lineage: Eukaryota
Description: partial 18S ribosomal RNA
Rfam family: Eukaryotic small subunit ribosomal RNA
Source: RNAcentral
CAAUAGCGUAUAUUAAAGUUGUUGCAGUUAAAAAGCUCGUAGUUGGAUUUCUGGUGGGAGCGAUCGGUCUGGCGCUUAGCGCGAGUACUUGCAUCGUCUCCGGCCAUCCUUGGGGAGUGUCUGUCUGGCAUUAGGUUGUCGGGCAGAGGAUCCUCAUCGUUUACUGUGAAAAAAUUAGAGUGUUCAAAGCAGGCUUAUGCCGUUGAAUAUAUUAGCAUGGAAUAAUAAGAUAGGACUUUGGUACUAUUUUGUUGGUUUGCGCACCAAAGUAAUGAUUAAUAGGGACAGUUGGGGGUAUUCGUAUUCCGUUGUCAGAGGUGAAAUUCUUGGAUUUACGGAAGACGAACUACUGCGAAAGCAUUUACCAAGGAUGUUUUCAUUAAC